RNAcentral lists this ribosomal RNA (474 nucleotides) under uncultured organism. RNAcentral's name for it is "partial 16S ribosomal RNA". It matches the Rfam family "Bacterial small subunit ribosomal RNA", at positions 335 to 800 of the family's 1533-position model. The record is from RNAcentral.
ACUCCUGCGGGAGGCAGCAGUGGGGAAUUUUGGACAAUGGGCGAAAGCCUGAUCCAGCCAUGCCGCGUGCAGGAUGAAGGCCUUCGGGUUGUAAACUGCUUUUGUACGGAACGAAACGGCCUUUUCUAAUAAAGAGGGCUAAUGACGGUACCGUAAGAAUAAGCACCGGCUAACUACGUGCCAGCAGCCGCGGUAAUACGUAGGGUGCAAGCGUUAAUCGGAAUUACUGGGCGUAACGCGUGCGCAGGCGGUUAUGUAAGACAGUUGUGAAAUCCCCGGGCUCAACCUGGGAACUGCAUCUGUGACUGCAUAGCUAGAGUACGGUAGAGGGGGAUGGAAUUCCGCGUGUAGCAGUGAAAUGCGUAGAUAUGCGGAGGAACACCGAUGGCGAAGGCAAUCCCCUGGACCUGUACUGACGCUCAUGCACGAAAGCGUGGGGAGCAAACAGGAUUAGAAACCCUGGUAGUCCCAUGA